UGCUCAUGUAGCUCAGAGGUAGAGCACACCUUUGGUAAAGGUGAGGUCGACAGUUCAACUCUGUUCGUGAGCAU
This 74-nucleotide transfer RNA is filed under the name Candidatus Portiera aleyrodidarum (primary endosymbiont of Bemisia tabaci). Its description in RNAcentral is "tRNA-Thr(ggt)". It matches the Rfam family "tRNA". Rfam says of the family: Transfer RNA (tRNA) molecules are approximately 80 nucleotides in length. Their secondary structure includes four short double-helical elements and three loops (D, anti-codon, and T loops). Lineage: Bacteria; Pseudomonadati; Pseudomonadota; Gammaproteobacteria; Johnevansiales (SeqCode); Johnevansiaceae (SeqCode). The record is from RNAcentral.